RNAcentral lists this unclassified non-coding RNA (1962 nucleotides) under Manduca sexta (tobacco hornworm). RNAcentral describes it as "splicing factor 3B subunit 3, transcript variant X2". Lineage: Eukaryota; Metazoa; Arthropoda; Insecta; Lepidoptera; Sphingidae. The record is from RNAcentral.
CUCAAAAAUGCUCUCUUUUGAUUGGUUAAUCGUGCCGAAGCGCAAUGGCGCAUUUGCCAUCCGCCAUUUUGCCAUUGAUUGGAUGGGAAAAGCUGGUGCCGGAACAUAGAAAUUCUAUCAAGCCGCAUCGCGGCUUCUACUGUGUAAUAUUGGAAGAACCGGGCUGACUCUUCCAAGAUGUAUCUGUACAAUUUGACUCUACAAGGCUCAACAGCCAUCACACAUGCUGUACAUGGAAACUUUUCUGGGACAAAACAGCAAGAAAUCGUGAUAUCACGUGGCAAAAUCUUAGAGCUACUUCGUCCAGAUCCUAACACCGGCAAAGUGCACACCUUGAUGAAAGUGGAGAUAUUCGGGAUAAUUAGAUCUAUGAUGUCAUUUCGACUCACAGGAGGCACGAAAGAUUACAUUGUAAUUGGCUCUGAUUCUGGACGCAUUGUGAUUUUGGAGUACAUACCCAACAAAAAUAUUUUGGAAAAAGUUCAUCAAGAGACUUUUGGGAAGUCGGGAUGCAGGAGAAUUGUGCCUGGUCAAUAUUUAGCUAUAGAUCCUAAAGGAAGAGCUGUUAUGAUUGGUGCCAUAGAGAAACAGAAACUAGUAUACAUAUUAAACAGAGAUGCAGAGGCGAGAUUGACUAUUUCCUCUCCACUUGAAGCGCACAAGUCAAACACUUUAGUGUACCACAUGGUGGGAGUUGAUGUGGGAUUUGAGAACCCCAUGUUUGCCUGUUUGGAAAUAGACUAUGAGGAAGCAGAUUCUGAUCCAACAGGUGAAGCAGCACAAAAAACACAACAGACACUAACAUUUUAUGAGUUGGAUUUGGGACUGAAUCAUGUUGUCAGAAAAUAUUCUGAGCCUUUGGAAGAACACGCUAAUUUCUUAAUCACAGUCCCAGGAGGCAAUGAUGGACCAUCUGGUGUGCUAAUUUGCUCUGAAAACUACCUCACAUACAAAAAUUUGGGAGACCAACAUGACAUCCGAUGUCCUAUACCAAGGCGGAGGAAUGAUCUUGAUGACCCAGAGAGGGGAAUGAUCUUUGUAUGUUCUGCCACACACAAAACCAAGUCAAUGUUUUUCUUUUUGGCUCAAACUGAACAAGGAGACAUAUUUAAAAUUACAAUAGAGACUGAUGAGGACAUGGUGACUGAAAUUAAAUUAAAAUAUUUUGACACCGUCCCAGUUGCAACAGCCAUGUGUGUGCUUAAAACUGGGUUUUUGUUUGUGGCCUGCGAAUUUGGUAACCACUAUCUGUAUCAAAUUGCCCACUUGGGUGAUGAGGAUGAUGAGCCUGAGUUCAGUUCAGCCAUGCCUUUGGAGGAGGGUGAUACAUUCUUCUUUGCACCCAGACCUCUGAGAAAUUUAGUACUUGUUGAUGAAAUAGAUUCACUUUCCCCUGUACUAGCAUGUCAUGUGGCAGAUUUGGCCGGUGAAGAUACACCUCAAGUAUACCUAGCUUGUGGGCGUGGUUCCAGAUCGUCAAUACGAGCACUCAGACAUGGUUUAGAAGUGGCUGAAAUGGCUGUGUCGGAACUGCCUGGCUCACCAAAUGCUGUGUGGACAGUCCGAAGGCAUAAAGAUGAAUCUACUAUUGGCUGAUGUGAAGAUGGUUCAACAAACACAUAAGAGGAGUACGAUUCGUACAUCAUAGUAUCGUUCGUAAAUGCCACACUAGUGCUCUCUAUCGGCGAAACGGUCGAGGAAGUGACUGAUUCUGGGUUUUUGGGCACAACCCCCACAUUGAGCUGCCACGCUAUGGGGAACGACGCGCUGGUGCAAGUAUAUCCCGACGGCAUCAGACACAUUCGCGCAGACAAGCGAGUCAACGAGUGGAAAGCGCCCGGCAAGAAGUCUAUCGUCAAAUGUGCAGUCAAUCAAAGACAGGUCGUGAUUGCACUCACUGGCGGCGAACUGGUUUAUUUCGAAAUGGAUCCUACUGGUCAACUUAAUGAAUAUACUGAGAGG